This 1049-nucleotide long non-coding RNA is filed under the name Numida meleagris (helmeted guineafowl). RNAcentral describes it as "lncRNA (ENSNMEG00000014906.1)". The record is from RNAcentral. Lineage: Eukaryota; Metazoa; Chordata; Aves; Galliformes; Numididae.
AGAGAGCUACUCUUGCACGAUCGUGCUCACUAGAAGAUUGCACCAGGUCCCCUGCAAAGAAGGCGAACCAACAAGGCUUGAUUGCCUGACUCUUCUUCCUGAUUAAUAUGCUGUCCUCUUCAUUCUUUUUAAUGGGCAAAAGUUUCACUUUUCUGAAAGAAUUGCCUCCUUUCAAGGCAAUUGGACUCUUAGUGGGAUAAAGGAACAUUAGCUACAGUGCUCUGAGUGGAGGGGGAAGCAGCUGAUUCAGAUAUCUGGAGGGACAGCAUUAUAAUUCAAAACUUGACCUCCGGUUGGAUGGUGCUUCUCUUCCAUGCUAGGACUGGAUUUGGUUGUGUUGUUACAGACGCACCAUUGUGAGUCCAGAUUGUGCCCAGCUGCUGCAUGGGUACACAAAGAGCUGAGAAAGCUGCAGGGAGCCUCUUCGUUGUGUGUUCCUGGACAGCAGCCAACCUCCCAUCAAAGGUUGCCCAUUUCUUGAGAAAGCACAGAGCUUGCUCCAUCCCCCAGCAAUGCCUCAAGCCAAAGGUGUCCAAAUGGAGACAGAAAGGGUAUUUCCAGUGCCCCGGUUUGCGGGACAGAGUGUACAAGGUGGGGAGCGAAAUCUGCACUGCUAGAGAAGGGAGAGCCACACUCCAUUAGGAGAGAUGUUGAGAGCUUAUUCUUUACUACAGCUGGUCCUGACAGGCAUUUAUCUAACUAUAUAAUCAGUUCUUGAAUUACAUUCCCUUCAGUCAAGCUACAUGCCUACCUUUCUAAAUUUACAGCUUGCUCAGUGAACACUGUUUCUGGUAGGAAUCCAUCAGUCUGCAAGUUUGUUAAAGGCGUGAUGUUAUCGGCAGUUCAGUUUCAGGGUUUUUCACAUGCUGCUGUGCUGCACAAGAAAAGCGAAGCAGCAGGGGAAGCGUGGAUGUUAGAGAGAAUAAUAGCAUAGCAGAAAGCUUUCUGAUUCUCAAACAACUGGGGAUUCCUUCUGAUAACAUGGGAUUACAGUGGAUUUGCAACUAGGACAUUGGGUUUUACUAAGUUGGUGUAUCAAAGCUUUUCCC